This 253-nucleotide ribosomal RNA is filed under the name uncultured bacterium. RNAcentral's name for it is "partial 16S ribosomal RNA". It matches the Rfam family "Bacterial small subunit ribosomal RNA", at positions 524 to 776 of the family's 1533-position model. The record is from RNAcentral.
UACGAAGGAUGCAAGCGUUAUCCGGAUUUAUUGGGCGUAAAGAGCGUGUAGGCGGCCAUUCAGGUCAGCUGUGAAAACUCGAGGCUCAACCUCGAGACGUCGGUUGAAACCGUUUGGCUAGAGUCCGGAAGAGGAGAGUGGAAUUCCCGGUGUAGCGGUGAAAUGCGCAGAUAUCGGGAAGAACACCCGUGGCGAAGGCGGCUCUCUGGGACGGUACUGACGCUGAGACGCGAAAGCGUGGGGAGCGAACAGG